Molecule: long non-coding RNA, 246 nt
Filed under: Capsicum annuum
Lineage: Eukaryota; Viridiplantae; Streptophyta; Magnoliopsida; Solanales; Solanaceae
Description: long non-coding RNA (CANN_LNC001418)
Source: RNAcentral
UGGAGGUGUUGGAGUAGGCAGAAAUAUGUUUGGUUGCUGCACGUUUUGCUGUGGAGCAGGCUGGUACGGUUGCUGCAUGUUUUGCUGUGGAGCAGGCUGGUAUGGUUGCUGCAUGUUUUGCUGUGGAGCAGGCUGGUACGGGGCAGGAGCAGCAAAGCCACUAUUGUAUGAAGAACCAAAUGGUUGUUGAUAAUUCGCAGCAUAAGGACUGUUUGAAAUGCUAGGCUGCGGCUUGGAUGAUUGCUC